Vicia villosa (hairy vetch) is the source of this 1829-nucleotide RNA transcript. It is a transcript of the gene named triose phosphate/phosphate translocator, non-green plastid, chloroplastic-like, with no coding region annotated. The record is from RefSeq and is a predicted model, not a curated record. Lineage: Eukaryota; Viridiplantae; Streptophyta; Magnoliopsida; Fabales; Fabaceae. The transcript has 10 exons.
UUAAGUAGUAUCUUCCACUUGAAAAAAGAGUCUCUUUUGUCGUGCAAUCCAACAGUGUAUAUGUUUUAAGGUAUUUCACCUACUCCCUCACCAAACCAACAUUGUUGCUGCUGGCGGACUUCACAAGGGACAUUCAUUCUCAUUACAUAUACAAACGUCCGCCCUCUUCCGUUCCAGAUCUUCAAAAUGCAGUCCGCCGCUUUCACUCUCUCCCCUUCUCUCCCUCUCCGAAAUCUCAACCGCCAAAACACCAACCGUUUAACUCGCUCCUCCACUAACCUCCGUCUCUCCGCCAAAUUAAACGACGCCGUAAAUCCCAAUGGCGCCUCCUCUUCUUCCUCCUCCUCCUUCACUCGUAAAUCAUGGUCUAUUUCUCCUUCUUCAUCUUCCUCCUCUUCUUUCAAAUUCAGACCUCUCCCUCUCCUUUCCACCUCCGAUCUUUCUCCUCCUAAAGCCACAUCCGAAAGCGCCGCUGAAUCUGCUGAUUCCGGUUCUUUGCUCAAAACUCUUCAACUUGGAUCCUUGUUCGGAUUGUGGUACCUCUUCAAUAUCUACUUCAAUAUCUACAAUAAACAGGUUUUGAAGGCGUGCCAUUUCCCUGUAACUGUUACUGUAGUUCAAUUUGCUGUUGGGACUGUUCUUGUAUCAGUUAUGUGGGCUCUUAAUCUCUACAAGAGACCUAAAAUCAAUGGCGCCAUGCUUGCAGCUAUAUUUCCACUAGCUAUUGUGCAUACUUUGGGGAACCUUUUCACUAAUAUGAGUCUUGGAAAGGUGGCUGUGUCUUUUACUCACACUAUUAAAGCUAUGGAGCCUUUCUUUUCGGUUAUCCUUUCUGCCAUGUUUCUUGGAGAGAGACCUACACCUUGGGUGAUUGGUUCCCUUGUUCCUAUUGUUGGUGGAGUUGCUCUGGCGUCUGUUACGGAGGCGUCUUUCAAUUGGGCUGGAUUUUGGAGUGCAAUGGCUUCCAAUGUGACAAACCAAUCACGUAAUGUUCUUAGCAAAAAGGUCAUGGUUAAACAAGAGGAAUCCUUGGACAACAUAACUCUCUUCUCUAUAAUAACAAUAAUGUCAUUCUUCUUGUUAGCACCUGCUGCUAUCUUCAUGGAGGGUGUCAAAUUCACCCCUGCUUACCUGCAAUCUGCUGGAUUAAAUGUUAGACAAGUGUACACCAGAUCUCUUCUUGCUGCACUCUGUUUCCAUGCAUAUCAACAAGUUUCUUACAUGAUAUUGCAGAGGGUAUCACCUGUUACCCAUUCCGUCGGUAAUUGUGUGAAGCGUGUUGUGGUUAUUGUGAGCUCUGUCAUCAUCUUCAAAACACCUGUCUCGCCUGUGAAUGCUUUAGGUACUGCUGUUGGUCUUGCUGGUGUUUUCCUCUACUCAAGGGUGAAGCGAAUUAAGUCAAAGCCAAAGGCAGUUUAACUUUUUCAAUGGUAAAUUUUUGCUAGUUGCAUUACAAAAUGCCAAAAUGCCAAAUAGCUGCAAAAUCUGAAUUCCUUCCUAGAUUUACCUACAUGGUCAUUUUUCCACCUCUCAGCUCACAAUUUGACUCAAACCAACAAAAAGGUUGCAAUAUUAGGCGAAAAUUCAUAUACAGAAGCAUGUUAAUUUUGAUUUGAUAAUAGAACAGAGACCUUAUUUGUUAUUUUGGUGUCAUUUUUUAUGGAUAGAAUUUAAUGUAUUAUUUUUGUAUCGAUCAUGUAAUUUGCUUUUUUGAACGGAAAUGUUUUCAAAUUUGUUUAUUAGUGGAUGUGAAAUGAAAGUUAGUCUGUAACCGUGGAAUAAUAUUUUCAGAUAUGAAAGACGUACGUCACAUUAAAGAUAAAGAAUUA